UCUACGGGAGGCAGCAGUGAGGAAUAUUGGUCAAUGGGCGCGAGCCUGAACCAGCCAAGUAGCGUGAAGGAUGACUGCCCUACGGGUUGUAAACUUCUUUUAUAAAGGAAUAAAGUGAGGCACGUGUGCCUUUUUGUAUGUACUUUAUGAAUAAGGAUCGGCUAACUCCGUGCCAGCAGCCGCGGUAAUACGGAGGAUCCGAGCGUUAUCCGGAUUUAUUGGGUUUAAAGGGAGCGUAGAUGGGUUGUUAAGUCAGUUGUGAAAGUUUGCGGCUCAACCGUAAAAUUGCAAUUGAUACUGGCAGUCUUGAGUACAGUUGAGGUAGGCGGAAUUCGUGGUGUAGCGGUGAAAUGCUUAGAUAUCACGAAGAACUCCGAUUGCGAAGGCAGCGUACCGGCGCCAGACUGACGCUGAGGCACGAAAGCGUGGGGAUCGAACAGGAUUAGAUACCCUGGUAGUC
Molecule: ribosomal RNA, 460 nt
Filed under: uncultured bacterium
Lineage: Bacteria
Description: partial 16S ribosomal RNA
Rfam family: Bacterial small subunit ribosomal RNA
Source: RNAcentral